UUUAAUAUACAUAUUUAAUGCAUUAUGCUGUUGGUUACAUUCUAAAUGUACAGUACGUCAUUACCGAAUAAUGGCAUAGACGGUGAUUUCUGAACAAAUAAGGAUUUUAAUUCAACCGAUAUCUAGACAUAUAACGUAUACGUUUGAAAAAGUUUUGUUGCACAUAGGAACACCAUAUCAGACAUAUACAGACUGACCUCUAAACAUUUCUUUCUAUUUUUAACCAUAGCUAUUACCAAGCCCGUGAAGUAAACAACACCUCAAACAAUUCAAAUAAAAAAAAAAAAUAAUUGUACUUUAAGCAAGUAGCACACUCGCUUUAGUAGUAGGACAUUUCUGAUCUGACAGAUAGCUAGACUUGCACUACAGUUAACCGGUACUUAGCUUGCAAAACACUUUUUCGAAACUAAGUAUGAACUAUGAUUACUGGAUAAAGGUACGAUGAAUUAUAACGGUAUACUUUAAAACGUAGUGAGCUGACUCGACACCGUGGCCGGCGUAGCCGGGCACACCCCUCGGAACCGCUGUGUACAGACAUAUAACAUACUACGUUUAAACAAAUUUUGUUUCACAAAGGCAAACCUUAACAGACAUUUAGCUGACUGUCCUCUAGACAUUUUUAUCUGUUUUCAACUCAUAAAGUUAAGCGGGACGACACCGGCCUAUAUUGAUGACGUGGUCUAUAAUAUAACUACUUUUACCAAAGACAAUUUCCAUUAUACACUUUUUCCCAAUGGCCAGCUUCUUAUCAAGUCUCUUUAACUUUUUAAAAUUUUAAUUUAAACUUAAUUUUAAACCUGUUACCUCCUCAUAGACUGUAGCCUACAAACCUACGAUAUUUUUAGUUGGCGGAGCGAAGCGACGGCGCCGAGCUCUAGUAGUUAUAUAUUUUUAUAAUAUAAGUGUACGAUGUAUUUAUAGCAAGUACAACAGAUUUAUCAAUCAUAACCAAUUCUCCUGAAUAUUAAACAAUUAAAAACGAGUCUAUUUGUUUCGCUCAUUGAACGGAAACACCUAAUUUACUCUUUUAUUAGUAUAACCAAAAUAUAAUAAUUGAAUUAUUAGAUGGGUUUACCUAUGAAAUGAGAUGUUUUCUUUUCUGCUCUCGUCGUUCUCGGGUCUUCCACAGAUAUAACAAAGGACCACUGCAAGUCGUAAAGCGAUUAAAAUCGAGCAAAAUAAUAUAUUUAAAUUUCAAUUAAUUAAGCAGCCGAGUUGAAUUGUGCUAGAACAAUAUUUAAAUUCACUUACUUUGCACACGGUGGUCGAUUGUAAAAUAAUUACCAGUACAACGGUGAAUGUAUAUUUUCCUAGAUGACAAAUAGAAGUUUUAACUUAGGCGGGUUUAACAGUGAACCGAGGGCAGGGCGGCCUGGGUUGGUACUCGCACGGAUGCAGUGUCGACUUGGCUCAUAUAAAUGACUUGCGCGUGGGCGUGGGUUUGAUAAAUCAAUAAAUGUUGACCAAGUGCUCGCAGUGUUUAAAUGCGCUCUACCGGAGGACGCCAUAGCUAAAACUAACACUCACAGCUUAUUUUAAACGGGUUUUACUAGAAAAAGUCGAUUAGUCAUUACUUAGUUUCAGCGGCUUCGAUCACAGUGCAAACAUAUUGUCUACAAUCAAACAGCAACAAUGCAUACAAUAUUUAUUUUUUGUUUUGCUUAAUAUAGGCUAUGUAGGCCCCUAGCUGUAACUACCACGUUUCUCUAUCGUUUUUUGUCUCUUGUCAUCUCUACUCCUAUAUACAUGAAGUUAUUUUAUUUGACAAUUCCCUUCUGCGCGCCAGACGACCACGUCUCAAAAAAAGCAUAUAAUGCAAUUGGUCUAAUAAGAACAUUAUACAUUGUUAUUUUUGAUUUUUUUAAAUAAGGUUUUGUCUUGAAGAGUGGUCUCAGCAUUCCAAAGCAUAUUUUUGCCGAAAUUCUUCUUUUUAGUUAUUUAUGCCCCCACUGGUUGUAUCUAGUCUCACUUCGAGAUACUUGCAUACAACAUUAUGAAAUUAUUUACACUAUGUACAAUCAUGUAAGAGGGCGUCGCACCGCCUAUUUUUAAAGAGUAAAGUAUAGGCAAUUUUUUACAAAAUCUUAAUUUAAAGGUUAAACUGUGAUGUGUAAUUAUUAGUUCAAUAACUAGGACUCUAUUUUGGUAGUUAAUUUAUUUUUUGGACUAUCACAGCAUCCUUAAAAGCGAUUUAAAAAUGAUUUUUCAUCUCUACAUGUUUAAGCAGACUGAAAAUAACUCGCUUAAUUUUGGUUUUAGAGUAAAUGCACCGAUUAUUAAAUUAAAAGAAAACAAUAUUCCGGAGGACAAGACGGUGCGUUUUUUUCAUUAUUCCAAGUAUAACGCUCAAUACCGGGUGAUUGCUUAACUAUGGACCACUCAAAAUCUUAGAAGAUAUUAGACUUUUUUAAUUAUUUUUUUUUUGUACUAUUAUAGUUAUUAGGUGGGACAAAUUUAAUGUAUUUUUCAAAAUUUUAACACCAUCCCUUAUGCGUUAAAACCAUAUCAACUUUAGAUUUUUAAAUGGUAACCCCCAAUUUUUUUUUGAUGAUCGUCUUUAUUUUUUUUAAAUUUAAUUUUAGGUGUAAAAACUAGGUAAAUCGAUUGAGUAGUUAACGAGCUACAGAGUUUUAAAAUUAAAGGGAGUGUAAAAAAUAAAUUAAAUAUCUUGGAGACGCUAACAUAUUAAGAUGACACUUGACUGCUCUCUGUUAUUAUUUAUUGGCAAUUAACUUUGACAAUAUCCAUAGUAGCGUUUAAAAAUCAUAACCGUACCAAACACUAUUUACUUUAGGUAAAUAAUUCACCGAUAGUAAAUAAUAAUGAUAACCGCUAUAUCGACUGACAAAUAUACCACCACUACACACUUUUACAUUUAUUUUGUAAAAUAGUAGGUAUGUUUAAUUUGUUAUCAAUACCUUGUGUAUAUUUUUCCAGCAUUUAGCAAUUAUUUGUUUUGGUUAAUUGACACAUUUUGUUUAUUCAUGCGAUUUGUACGUCUUAAUUUCAUAGUAUAUUAUAAUAAUAUAGUAUCAUAACUUACUAGUUCUAUGAACUUGUCAACAUUUAUUGUGUUUUAAAUAAUAACAUUGGUAUUAAAUAUCCAUAAUCAAUGUGAAUACCAAGAUGGAGUUUUGCUCAAGUGACAAGUCUAUAAAACCUAAAACCUUACUUAUAAAAUGUAUGCACAUCAAAUAUCAAAAUUAAAGUAUUAUGUCUUUGUUCUGAGAAACUUAUAAAUGUGUAGUUUUGUGUUUUAACAUAUUGGUAUCUGAAUACAAAGAAAAAAUAUAAAAAUUUUUAUGAAAAAAUUGAAUCUUCAAUCAUCAUUUACUGAAUCGAUAAUAGUAUGUUCAAUAUUAAUAUAGACUAUCUCAACUUAAAUUGAUAUUUGUUAUUGUCUACAACUACACUACUACCAACGUCAAAUUUGGUGAAUUAUAUUAUUGCAGUCAAUCAGUCUAAACCAAUUCCAUCAAUACAUUGUCGAAUGUUGUGGUAUUCAAUUUUCAGUAAAUUUAUAGGUGUUUUAUUUUAAGUUACUGUGGCACACUAUUGCAGAUAACGGUUUUCCAUUAAGUCAGUAAGAAGAAGAAGAAUAAGAUGGAUUCACAAGUUCAAAUCAAAUAUUAGACAACUAUAUAUAUUUAGUUAUUCAGCUAAAAAUGUAAUUCAAUAAAAUAAUUUAAAAGUACUUGAUCAUUUUAAAAGUUACAUAAAGUUUUUAUGUAAACUCUAAGUAUUUAAACACACAUAUA
Adelges cooleyi (spruce gall adelgid) is the source of this 3758-nucleotide long non-coding RNA. RefSeq lists it as uncharacterized. NCBI's taxonomy places the organism in Eukaryota, Metazoa, Arthropoda, Insecta, Hemiptera, Adelgidae. The transcript has 4 exons. The record is from RefSeq and is a predicted model, not a curated record.